UACGGAGGAUCCGAGCGUUAUCCGGAUUUAUUGGGUUUAAAGGGAGCGUAGGCGGGUUGUUAAGUCAGUUGUGAAAGUUUGCGGCUCAACCGUAAAAUUGCAGUUGAUACUGGCAUCCUUGAGUACAGUAGAGGUAUGCGGAAUGCGCAGUGUAGCGGUGAAAUGCUUAGAUAUUGCGCAGAACUCCGAUUGCGAAGGCAGCAUACCGGCGGCGAUCUGACGCUGAGGCACGAAAGCGUGGGUAUCGAACAGG
Molecule: ribosomal RNA, 253 nt
Filed under: uncultured Bacteroides sp.
Lineage: Bacteria; Pseudomonadati; Bacteroidota; Bacteroidia; Bacteroidales; Bacteroidaceae
Description: partial 16S ribosomal RNA
Rfam family: Bacterial small subunit ribosomal RNA
Source: RNAcentral